AAAGGUAAAUGUUUUGAAUUGUUUCAGGACAUUCAGGCAGCCAUGACAAAGAUAUUCCUGAAAGGGACUUGGAACUGCUACAGAAGUGGCCAGAAGUAUGUGUGUUUUUCAGUUGCACAUUGGCGUGUGUGGGCGAUACAUCUACAGUGAUGAGCUUCGUAUCCGAGGGAGGUGAACGCCCGAUUCAAACAUGUAUUUCUUCAUACAUUUCUCUGUCAUCUUUGGAGUUUCUGGUCUAGUGAGAGGCGCAGACAAUCAAAUGCAGGUAAGAAGUAAAACCACAGAAGGCUAGGAGAGCUUCAGACAGAGCUAUCCUGGUCUGAGAGCCAGGGAAGAUUCUCUAAGACACGGGAUGAGAAAUAAAGGGGCC
RNAcentral lists this long non-coding RNA (370 nucleotides) under Fukomys damarensis (Damara mole-rat). RNAcentral describes it as "lncRNA (ENSFDAG00000027882.1)". The record is from RNAcentral. Lineage: Eukaryota; Metazoa; Chordata; Mammalia; Rodentia; Bathyergidae.